UACGUAGGGGGGCAAGCGUUGUCCGGAAUUAUUGGGCGUAAAGCGCGCGCAGCCGGCUUCUUAAGUCUGAUGUGAAAGCCCACGGCUCAACCGUGGAGGGUCAUUGGAAACUGGGGAGCUUGAGUGCAGAAGAGGAGAGUGGAAUUCCACGUGUAGCGGUGAAAUGCGUAGAGAUGUGGAGGAACACCAGUGGCGAAAGCGGCUCUCUGGUCUGUAACUGACGCUGAGGCGCGAAAGCGUGGGGAGCAAACAGG
RNAcentral lists this ribosomal RNA (254 nucleotides) under uncultured bacterium. RNAcentral's name for it is "partial 16S ribosomal RNA". It matches the Rfam family "Bacterial small subunit ribosomal RNA", at positions 524 to 776 of the family's 1533-position model. The record is from RNAcentral.